Molecule: non-coding RNA, 529 nt
Filed under: Pongo abelii (Sumatran orangutan)
Lineage: Eukaryota; Metazoa; Chordata; Mammalia; Primates; Hominidae
Source: RNAcentral
CUUGAACUCACUGUCAUGGAUGGUGAAGUAGGGACGGAAGUCGCAGCAGAACCUCAGGGGCUGCAGGCAGCUGUGGGCAGAGGCAGCAGGGAGCAGGUGAGACGGGGCAGCCCAGGUACAGCCGUGAUGACCCAGCUCCCCCAGCCGGGACCAGGCCAAGGGGGUACCUGGUCAAGGCCAGCACCAUCUCCGAGGACACGUCGGGCGAGGGUGCCAGGACCAGCAGGGGCUCCCCGAGGAGCAUGAGCUCCCACAGUGUCUGCAUAUGAGUCAGCACAGGCCGGAAGCACCUGGGGCCGGGCAGGCAGGUCGGGGAGGUCAGGCAGGGGCUGAGACUCCUGGCCCUGGCCCCGCUCUCCACCGUUCACCCAGGCUGGCCCGGGCACUGGUGAACAUGGCACACUGCGCCAGGGUGAAGACAGACCUAUCUGAAGAUGUGUCUCGGGGUGGACCAGGGAGGCAGGUGUGGGACCACCCAGCCCAGGAGCAGGACUCAAUCGGGUGAAGCCCAGCUGUCUCAGCUCCACCU